Molecule: ribosomal RNA, 155 nt
Filed under: uncultured bacterium
Lineage: Bacteria
Description: partial 16S ribosomal RNA
Rfam family: Bacterial small subunit ribosomal RNA
Source: RNAcentral
UGAGGAAUAUUGGUCAAUGGGCGAGAGCCUGAACCAGCCAAGUCGCGUGAGGGAGUACUGCCCUAUGGUUGUAAACCUCUUUUGUCGGGGAGCAAAAGCCGGACGUGUCCGUCUGUGAGAGUACCCGAAGAAAAAGCAUCGGCUAACUCCGUGCC